Molecule: long non-coding RNA, 866 nt
Filed under: Equus caballus (horse)
Lineage: Eukaryota; Metazoa; Chordata; Mammalia; Perissodactyla; Equidae
Description: lncRNA (ENSECAG00000059222.1)
Source: RNAcentral
AAUCUGAGUGAAAACAUCAUCUAUUCCCUCUGUGUUUCUUUAUCCUCCGCCACUUCGAAUUCUUCCUUUGUGAGCCCCUCCCCUCACCCAGAGGCCAUUUCCAAAGAGAUCUGUGGAACACCCACAACUAACACGCAUUGGCGCAAUCCUAUUAAGAAGAAAAAUCACAUUUAUAGAGAGGAAGUAGCCUGCAAGCAUCAAAAGAGGAUGAUCAAGAAAAAGCCAUGUGGUUUCUGGAGCCUUGUGCUCGGAAGAUGGACACAGUUUCUAGACAGCAAGCGCGCUCCACAGAGGCCUCCUACAUGCCUGGUAGAGAUACCGCUCAGUAAAAGUUUACACUGAUCUCAUAUUGUUUCUCGGUAACUUUGUAGCAGAAUCAUUCUUCUAACACCAGGGCACAUUUGUGGAUGUAUGGAAACAUUUUUGGUUGACAAAAGUGUAUUUUACUACUGGCAUUUAGUGGGUGGAGACCAAAGAUUCUGCUAAACAUCCUAAAAGACAAAAGACAGCCCCACACAAGAAAGAAUUGUCCAGUCCCUAAUGUCCAAAGUUCUGAUGUUCAAAACCCCUGACUAGAGAAUCUGAACACAACUCGAGAGAAGAGACAAUCGAGUGUGAAGAGUAGUCUUUCUUCAGGAACUGAAGAUUGCAGCCUUGGUCUUUAAAGUGCCCAAUAACAAUCGAGAAGAUGAUGAUGGCUGGGAAAAGGUAACUCUGGUGGCACAGUGAGUACCAGAAAGCAGAGGAAAUUCUGUACUCUCUCUCAUCUGGAAGUGGGAAUUUGGAUGACCUCCAGUCAUUUCUUUUAAAGCCUAACAUACUAGAUGCACUGGUUGUCAUUUUAACUUGGGAUUUACAUAUUGCCA